GGUGAACGCUGGCGGUAGGCCUAAUACAUGCAAGUCGAGCGACAGGACAGUGAGAGUUUGCCCUUACGGGUGGCGAGGGACGGACGGGUGAGGCGUACAUCGGAUUCUACUUUUUCGUGGGGGAUAACGGGGGGAAACAGCCGCUAAUACCGCAUACAAUCUACGGGAUAAAUCAGGAGAUCUUCGGACCUUUGCCGAUAGAAUGAGCCGGUGUCGGAUUAGCUAGUUGGGGGGGUAAGGGCCCACCAAGGCGACGAUCCGUAGCUGAUCUGAGAGGAUGAUCGGCCACACUGGAACUGAGACACGGUCCAGACUCCUACGGGAGGCAGCAGUAGGGAAUAUUCGGCAAUGGGCGCAAGCCUGAUCCAGCCAUACCGCGUGGGUGAAGAAGGCCUUCGGGUCGUAAAGCCCUGUUAUUGGGGAAGAAAAGAAGUAUAUUUAUCUACCCCCGUCUUGACGGUACCCAAACAAUAAGCACCGGCUAACUACGUG
Molecule: ribosomal RNA, 492 nt
Filed under: uncultured bacterium
Lineage: Bacteria
Description: partial 16S ribosomal RNA
Rfam family: Bacterial small subunit ribosomal RNA
Source: RNAcentral